UACGGAGGGGACUAGCGUUGUUCGGAAUUACUGGGCGUAAAGCGCACGUAGGCGGACUCUUAAGUCGGUGGUGAAAUCCUGGAGCUCAACUCCAGAACUGCCUUCGAUACUGGGAGUCUCGAGUCCGAGAGAGGUGAGUGGAACUGCGAGUGUAGAGGUGAAAUUCGUAGAUAUUCGCAAGAACACCAGUGGCGAAGGCGGCUCACUGGCUCGGUACUGACGCUGAGGUGCGAAAGCGUGGGGAGCAAACAGG
This 253-nucleotide ribosomal RNA is filed under the name uncultured bacterium. Its description in RNAcentral is "partial 16S ribosomal RNA". It matches the Rfam family "Bacterial small subunit ribosomal RNA", at positions 524 to 776 of the family's 1533-position model. The record is from RNAcentral.